This 66-nucleotide ribosomal RNA is filed under the name Ruminococcus flavefaciens. RNAcentral's name for it is "16S rRNA. Bacterial SSU". Lineage: Bacteria; Bacillati; Bacillota; Clostridia; Eubacteriales; Oscillospiraceae. The record is from RNAcentral.
CUGGCUCAGGACGAACGCUGGCGGCACGCUUAACACAUGCAAGUCGAACGGAGUUAAUUUUGGUUU